Molecule: long non-coding RNA, 1219 nt
Organism: Cannabis sativa
Lineage: Eukaryota; Viridiplantae; Streptophyta; Magnoliopsida; Rosales; Cannabaceae
Exons: 2
Source: RefSeq, a predicted model, not a curated record
AUGAACUUUCUAAAACGAUAAAUAAACACAUAUAAAGUUAAGAAAACCUUACAUUGGUUGCAGCAGAAUAAUGUCUCCUUCCACUCAGAUCUCUAACCCUUGUAUCCUUUCUCUCGCAAAGUAUUAUCAAUAUCUGAGCCUGAAUGUCCUUCUCUUUGGAGUGAAAAUAGUUUUUUACACCAAAUUUAGUGAUAGUAUGACACCAAAUUUAGUGAGCUCGUUGGAAAUGCUCUUUAACUCCCCGAGCUCCACUCCAAAGCUACCAUCCCUGACGCGGAAGCUUUCUCUGUCCAAUGCAUCAUUUACGACACCGGACCGAAGCUCUCUCUGUCCACAGCACCCAUUCGUGGUGGGGAAGCUCUCUCCAUCUCGAACACCCAUCUCCGCUAAAGGUUUCUUCGUCCGUCUGACAUAAAAAUCCCCUUGGAUUGUGAAACGAAAGGUUAUGGAGUCUGAAGUCGGUAAUUGCUAAUCCUUACUGCUCUAAAACAGCUGCUAUGAAUGCCAUGGAGAAAAUUAAUUGAUAGAAAUGCCCUGAUUAGCACUGUUCAUUAUCAUUAGUUAAUUCAUAUAUUCUUCUAUAAGAAAAUCAAUUAGUAACUGUUACUACCAAUUUGAAUAUGUAUUACAUUCACUUUUUAAUAUUCUUAUCCUUGGAGAAAAGGGCCCCUUGUAAAUAUGAAGAGUGUGUUAUGCAUUAAAUUUAGGCUGAGAUCUAAUUAUCAUUAAUGGUGAUGAUGAAAAGAAUAAUGGGGUUUGUCGUUUGUCUUGCUUUAGCUUGUCUCAAUCAAAAUUAUGGGAAUUUUAAAGGUUGCUAUGUGAUUACAAUAACAACUGUUAAAUUUGACUCGUAUACUCUAAUUUCAUUGCAAUGCUAAUUUUUGUCUGUUGUGGAUGAAACGGAAUGCAUGGAACUGAGAGAUGAAGAGAAGGGCUGGAGCUGGUUGCUAUCUUUCCUUCAUCAAAUUUGUAGCAGAAGGUGAAUUAACAGUAGAUUAUAUAGGCUAAGCCUAAAGAAAUGACUCACACAACCUAUACUUAUUAGCUUUGAAUCUCUGGCUUCUUUUUUUUUUCUGAUACAAUACUGCCUAUGGAUACGUUUUCUAAGUUAUUCCCCACCAUUUUGUUAUGGUAGCUCAUAUAGUGAUGCAUUGUCAUUCCUUGUAGAACCAUGAUCUGAAUUAUGUUUGAUUGAUCAGUUUGUUUGCUUGUGUGACUA